Molecule: long non-coding RNA, 272 nt
Filed under: Trifolium pratense (red clover)
Lineage: Eukaryota; Viridiplantae; Streptophyta; Magnoliopsida; Fabales; Fabaceae
Description: long non-coding RNA (TPRA_LNC001300)
Source: RNAcentral
UUCGUGAACAGUGAAUAAUUUUCGCCCUAGCUGACUUUUUUCGGUUUAAAUAAUACAUGGAAACGGGCCUUAAAACAAUUGGGCCGAAAACAUAAAGUUGUGCUGAAAAUUAAUAAUUUAAUUCGUCUGGAACAUAAACGCAAUUAUUUGACACACUUGCGCUCCGAACUGGAUUUUGGCCUCAACAUGAAAGUUGUAGCUCUUGAUCUCAGCUUUCCAACGCAUCUUCCCGCGCCUCAAUCCGAUAUUUGUAACUCCAGUUAUGACCUGCG